This 1529-nucleotide long non-coding RNA is filed under the name Olea europaea (common olive). RNAcentral describes it as "long non-coding RNA (OEUR_LNC010462)". The record is from RNAcentral. Lineage: Eukaryota; Viridiplantae; Streptophyta; Magnoliopsida; Lamiales; Oleaceae.
AAAUUUACAACGUUGCAAAAGACUAGCUUUUGCAACUUUUUUUUACCGUUGCCAUAGAAUUUUUUUUUUUUUUUUACACACUUUAUGUAAAUUGACUUGCAAAAUUGAAAAUAACACGUUGUGAACAAAUUUUGGAAUUGCAUAAAAAUUAAUAAUUUCAUUAAAAAUUUUUGAAUCAAUACACUUGAAUAUUAAAAUGUGAUACAAUACCACCUAACUAAAAAGGAGUAGGGAUUAAAGAUGAUACAAAUUAAAAUGUUAUUAAUCCCUAGACAUCCCAAUGCAUAACCCACAAUCCACACCUUCAAUGGAGCAUGUGGAUGCUCAUGCUUUGACAAAGAUAAGACGUGGAUACUCUUGCCUUACAUGAUCAAGCACUUCAGGGGAGCAUGAUUUGAGAAGCUCAAGCACAUGCGGAUGACCGCUGCAAAUUUCCUCCACCAGACAAUUUAGAUCAUGAAUUAUCUGUUAAAAAAUUGUAAUUAUUAAAUAUAGCAUAGUAUAAACUUUUGUCACAAAUAGCAUAAAUCAUAAAAAAAAUGCCAUGUUCAUCUAUCUGUAUUUCAGGAGAUCAGGAUAGCGCAAACUGAAAGAAGAAAAGAAAACUCAGGCAAAAAAUAUUCACGAUUGCAACAAUUGAAAAUUAAGUUCAAAGAGAAAAAACCACUUAGCAGUUAGCACCAAUGGCAAAAUUGGCAAUAAACCGGUGAAAAUAGAAUUAAAAUCACAGCCCAAUGUAUUUAUUGUUAGACCUAAUACAAAGAGAGCGAAAAAAAUGCUUUUCAUACUCCCAAAAGAUCGGCUAUGUUGAAAGUGACAAACAACAAGUCUGACAAACCUCAGGCCCUUGCUAUUUACGACUAUUUAACAAUCUCGUGUCAACUGAAUAAAAAAACACAAUAACACCAAGUAAACCAUAUCAACAUAAGUAGAAAUCAAACCAGCAAUUUUCACUAAUGGGGAGUGAAGGCCACACAAAAAUAUUAUAAAAUAUUUCUAGUGUCUGUCUUUAGAAUUCCAGGUGAAUACAAAAAUGUACAACAUUUGAGGAUGAAGGUUGAUUUAAACCAAAUCUCAAGUGAAUAUCAAAUGGUUAGUUCCAAUUCUUGAGUAGGGUAAAUGAAAGAGUAAAAUCCUGAAUCUGGGUAGAUCAGGGGUACCCAUGGGCUCCAUAGUCCCAAGGAUAUGAUAAUUUAGAGCUCUAAAACAAGUCACACAAAGUGGGGGCAAGGGGGAAAAGCAUUAACUAAUGCAAAAUUCAGCCACCUCCAACAACUUCAAGGAAAAUUGGCAUUUCUUAUUACCCUCACCACCAUUCCCCACCCCUUCACUUUACGAUUUUUUUUCAAACACUUUGAAAAUCUCUUCCAUCUGCAUCAGCUCUAGAUGAAUGACAUGAUGUUGCAUAAGCCAGUUUCUUCUUUUUCACCAAAUAUGAUUUCCAGUAAACAUUUUAUUACGAAUGCAUAGACCCUUCUGGCAUCAAAACUGACAUGAGUGAUGCAAGUAUUUUACUAUGAAAAAAAAAA